This is a long non-coding RNA of Polypterus senegalus (gray bichir), 145 nucleotides long. RefSeq lists it as uncharacterized. The record is from RefSeq and is a predicted model, not a curated record. The transcript has 3 exons. NCBI's taxonomy places the organism in Eukaryota, Metazoa, Chordata, Cladistia, Polypteriformes, Polypteridae.
GAGAGCUCAGGUGUGGUGCUUUAUAGUUUGUUUGGUGUCUCUUGAGUUGAAGUAUUCAGGCUAGAUGUUACCCCACACUAUGCGACUCUUCAAUUCCACCUGGGGGGUAAAAGCACUCGGCACUUUUUGCACCAUCCGAUUGCUC